Molecule: ribosomal RNA, 458 nt
Filed under: uncultured bacterium
Lineage: Bacteria
Description: SSU rRNA
Rfam family: Bacterial small subunit ribosomal RNA
Source: RNAcentral
AGAAUCAACGCUGGCGGCGUGCCUAACACAUGCAAGUCGAACGAGAAAGUGGAGCAAUCCAUGAGUAAAGUGGCGCACGGGUGAGUAACACGUGACUAACCUACCCUUGAGUGGGGGAUAACCUAGAGAAAUCUGGGCUAAUACCGCAUAAUACCUUCGGGUCAAAGGAGCAAUUCGCUUAAGGAGGGGGUCGCGGCCGAUUAGUUAGUUGGCGGGGUAAUGGCCCACCAAGACUAUGAUCGGUAUCCGGCCUGAGAGGGCGCACGGACACACUGGAACUGAAACACGGUCCAGACUCCUACGGGAGGCAGCAGUGGGGAAUUUGCGCAAUGGGGGAAACCCUGACGCAGCAACGCCGCGUGGAGGAUGAAGUCCCUUGGGACGUAAACUCCUUUCGAUCGGGACGAUAAUGACGGUACCGAGAGAAGAGCCCCGGCUAACUUCGUGCCAGCAGCCGC